CCUACGGGCGGCUGCAGUGGGGAAUUUUGGACAAUGGGCGCAAGCCUGAUCCAGCCAUGCCGCGUGCAGGAUGAAGGCCCUCGGGUUGUAAACUGCUUUUGUACGGAACGAAAAGCCUCUCUCGAAUAAAGAGGGGUGAUGACGGUACCGUAAGAAUAAGCACCGGCUAACUACGUGCCAGCAGCCGCGGUAAUACGUAGGGUGCGAGCGUUAAUCGGGAUUGCUGGGCCGGAAGCGCAAGCCAGCGGUGAAAGCCCCGGGCUCAACCUGGGAACGGCCAUUGUGACUGCAAGGCUGGAGUACGGCAGAGGGGGGUGGAAUUCCGAGUGUAGCAGUGAAAUGCGUAGAUAUGCGGAGGAACACCGAUGGCGAAGGCAGCCCCCUGGGCCUGUACUGACGCUCAUGCACGAAAGCGUGGGGAGCAAACAGGAUUAGAUACCCCAGUAGUC
RNAcentral lists this ribosomal RNA (449 nucleotides) under uncultured bacterium. Its description in RNAcentral is "partial 16S ribosomal RNA". It matches the Rfam family "Bacterial small subunit ribosomal RNA", at positions 338 to 795 of the family's 1533-position model. The record is from RNAcentral.